Molecule: long non-coding RNA, 605 nt
Filed under: Podarcis muralis (Common wall lizard)
Lineage: Eukaryota; Metazoa; Chordata; Lepidosauria; Squamata; Lacertidae
Description: lncRNA (ENSPMRG00000016271.1)
Source: RNAcentral
CUUUCAACAGAGCAUGAUGGUAAGCAGACUGAGGCAGUUGGCUCAGGCAAUAGGAUCCAAGGGUCACCUCUGCUAUCACUGGAGAAGCAGCAGUGGCAGCUUCUCAUUUCGAGUGAGAUCUCGUGAAAGCCCCACGAGAUCUCGCUGGAAUCUGCAAGCCACAGUCUCAAGACCUGGGUUGCAGAACAACGUGGCAAAAAGACAGUUUCUCCUGGAGAGAUUAUUGGAUGCAGUUAAACAGUGCCAGAUCAGAUUUGGAGGGAGGAAGGAGAUUGCUUCCGAUUCGGACAGCAGGUAAGUCUGAAAGGAUAUUGAAUAAACUCACCUAUUUUAAAUGCUACCUGCCCUGGGAUUUAUUCACUGAAAAACAAAUGAGCAUGAAAUCCGGUAUGUAAAUUCUCCAAACAAACAGAUGAGAGAUGAGGAUGGCAAAGGCAGGUGAGACGGAAGACUAAAAUUAGCUGCACAGGGAAUCAGGUACUGGGAAAAGAGAGCAAGUUUACCUGGCGACACUUCUCCGUGGUGAUGUCUUCCUGCAUCGUUACCACAUUGGGAAUGGGCUUUAUGGGAACCAGGUCAACCCCUGAAAUCAAAGACACGGGAGG